GAUGAACGCUAGCUACAGGCUUAACACAUGCAAGUCGAGGGGCAGCAUGAGGUCAGCUUGCUGACUUUGAUGGCGACCGGCGCACGGGUGAGUAACGCGUAUCCAACCUGCCCAUAACUAAGGGAUAAUCCGUAGAAAUGCGGUCUAAUACCUUAUGUUGUCCGAGGAAGACAUCUGAUUCGGACGAAAGAUUUAUCGGUUAUGGAUGGGGAUGCGUCUGAUUAGCUUGUUGGCGGGUAACGGCCCACCAAGGCGACGAUCAGUAGGGGUUCUGAGAGGAAGGUCCCCCACAUUGGAACUGAGACACGGUCCAAACUCCUACGGGAGGCAGCAGUGAGGAAUAUUGGUCAAUGGACGAGAGUCUGAACCAGCCAAGUAGCGUGCAGGAUGACGGCCCUAUGGGUUGUAAACUGCUUUUAUACGGGGAUAAAAGGUGUCACGUGUGACAUUUUGCAGGUACCGUAUGAAUAAGGACCGGCUAAUUCCGUG
RNAcentral lists this ribosomal RNA (489 nucleotides) under uncultured bacterium. Its description in RNAcentral is "bacterial SSU rRNA". It matches the Rfam family "Bacterial small subunit ribosomal RNA", at positions 28 to 507 of the family's 1533-position model. The record is from RNAcentral.